AGGACGAACGCUGGCGGCGUGCUUAACACAUGCAAGUCGAACGGUGACGGGGGAGCUUGCUCCCCCUGAUCAGUGGCGAACGGGUGAGUAACACGUGAGUAACCUGCCCCAGACUCUGGGAUAACCUCGUGAAAACGGGGCUAAUACCGGAUACGAGACGCUCAGGCAUCUGAAGCGUUUGGAAAGAUUUAUCGGUCUGGGAUGGACUCGCGGCCUAUCAGCUUGUUGGUGAGGUAAUGGCUCACCAAGGCGACG
Molecule: ribosomal RNA, 255 nt
Filed under: uncultured soil bacterium
Lineage: Bacteria
Description: partial 16S ribosomal RNA
Rfam family: Bacterial small subunit ribosomal RNA
Source: RNAcentral